This 569-nucleotide ribosomal RNA is filed under the name Puniceibacterium antarcticum. RNAcentral's name for it is "bacterial LSU rRNA". It matches the Rfam family "Bacterial large subunit ribosomal RNA", at positions 1 to 582 of the family's 2925-position model. The record is from RNAcentral. Lineage: Bacteria; Pseudomonadati; Pseudomonadota; Alphaproteobacteria; Rhodobacterales; Paracoccaceae.
GAUCAAAUCAAGCGCGAGAAGGGCGUUUGGUGGAUGCCUUGGCAGUAAGAGGCGAUGAAGGACGUGGUACUCUGCGAUAAGUCAUGGGGAGCUGAGAACAGGCUUUGAUCCAUGAAUUUCCGAAUGGGGCAACCCACCUGACAGUUUGUUAUAAUAGCCUUCGGGCUGCUUAUAAUGGGCUGAAACAGGUACUUAUAGACUGAAUACAUAGGUUUAUAAGAGCAAACCCGGGGAACUGAAACAUCUAAGUACCCGGAGGAAAGGACAUCAAUAGAGACUCCCCUAGUAGCGGCGAGCGAACGGGGACCAGCCGAGUCCUGAGAGUGACCAGAACAAUCUGGAAAGAUUGGCCAUAGCGGGUGACAGCCCCGUAUGGGAAGCUCAAUGGAACGUAUUAAGUAGGGCGGAACACGUGAAAUUCUGUCUGAAGAUCGGGGGACCACCCCCGAAGGCUAAGUACUCCUUACUGACCGAUAGCGAACCAGUACCGUGAGGGAAAGGUGAAAAGCACCCCGACGAGGGGAGUGAAACAGUACCUGAAACCGAACGCCUACAAUCAGUCGGAGCUU